This is a long non-coding RNA of Oncorhynchus tshawytscha (Chinook salmon), 584 nucleotides long. The record is from Ensembl. NCBI's taxonomy places the organism in Eukaryota, Metazoa, Chordata, Actinopteri, Salmoniformes, Salmonidae.
GGGGGGUUCUGGAUACAGACUAGUUACUGACUGACUAGUGGGGGGGUUCUGGAUACAGACUAGUGACUGACUGAAGGGGGGGGUUCUGGAUACAGACUAGUGACUGACUGAAGGGGGGGUUCUGGAUACAGACUAGUGACUGACUGAAGGGGGUUCUGGAUACAGACUAGUGACUGACUGAAGGGGGGGUUCUGGAUACAGACUAGUGACUGACUGAAGGGGGGGGUUCUGGAUACAGACUAGUGACUGACUGAAGGGGGGUUCUGGAUACAGACUAGUGACUGACUAAAUGGGGGUUCUGGAUACAGACUAGUGACUGACUGAAGGGGGGGGUUCUGGAUACAGACUAGUGACUGACUGAAGGGGGGGUUCUGGAUACAGACUAGUGACUGACUGAAGGGGGGGUUCUGGAUACAGACUAGUGACUGACUGAAUGGGGAGUUCUGGAUACAGCCUAGUGACUGACUGAAUGGGGGGGUUCUGGAUACAGACUAGUAACUGACUGACGGGGGGUUCUGGAUACAGACUAGUAACUGACUGACGGGGGGGUUCUGGAUACAGACUAGUAACUGACUGACGGGGGG